RNAcentral lists this ribosomal RNA (236 nucleotides) under uncultured bacterium. RNAcentral describes it as "partial 16S ribosomal RNA". It matches the Rfam family "Bacterial small subunit ribosomal RNA", at positions 30 to 260 of the family's 1533-position model. The record is from RNAcentral.
AUUGAACGCUGGCGGCGUGCUUAACACAUGCAAGUCGAUCGGUAACAGUGUAGCAAUACAUGCUGACGAGAGGCGGACGGGUGAGUAAUGCUUGGGAAUCUGCCUAUUAGUGGGGGACGAACCCGGGGAAACGUACGGGCGUAAUACCGCAUACGCUCUACGGAGGAAAGCCGGGGACCGGCAAGGCCUGGCGCUAAUAGAUGAGCCCAAGUCGGAUUAGCUAGUUGGUAGGGUAA